GCCAUCCUAGCUCAGUUGGUAGAGCAACGGUUUUGUAAACCGUAGGUCGUCGGUUCAAGCCCGACGGAUGGCU
This 73-nucleotide transfer RNA is filed under the name bacterium. RNAcentral's name for it is "tRNA-Thr". It matches the Rfam family "tRNA". Rfam says of the family: Transfer RNA (tRNA) molecules are approximately 80 nucleotides in length. Their secondary structure includes four short double-helical elements and three loops (D, anti-codon, and T loops). RNAcentral also lists the same sequence under 2 other names. The record is from RNAcentral.